GGUCUUGUAGCUCAAUGGUUAGAGCACUGGUCUAGUAAACCAGGGGUUGUGAGUUCAAUUCUCACCGAGGCCU
This is a non-coding RNA of Syngnathus typhle (broad-nosed pipefish), 73 nucleotides long. Lineage: Eukaryota; Metazoa; Chordata; Actinopteri; Syngnathiformes; Syngnathidae. The record is from the annotation of a RefSeq genome assembly.